Molecule: long non-coding RNA, 377 nt
Organism: Chiloscyllium plagiosum (whitespotted bambooshark)
Lineage: Eukaryota; Metazoa; Chordata; Chondrichthyes; Orectolobiformes; Hemiscylliidae
Source: RefSeq, a predicted model, not a curated record
UGUGCCUUUGUUUAAGAAGGUUAAGCAGAAAGAGAAAGGAAGGCUCCAAAUGCUGAUCACUAGGAAAGAGGGAACUGACCUUGUAGAUCCAGGAUAUGCCCAGCCGUCAAUGGGUAGAUUUUAAGGAACAUCUUAAAGGAGACUUUUAAAAUGGAGAGAAUUCCAAGUUCCUAAAUGAAAUACAAUGUACUUGAUAUCCAAAUUAUCGUACUUUCUUUACAAUCUUCAGAGAUAAUAUAGUGUCAGUGAAAAGAAUGUGCUCACACUAAUUCACAUUAAAAGUGAAUUCUCCCACUUUGUGAAAAUAUAUUCAUGGCAUGUGGGUGCUGCUGGCUGAACCAGUUUUCUUUAUUUACAGGAUGAGGGCAUUGCUGACU